UUCACCUUUCCUCGUUAGACAGACCUCAUCCUGAAAGUAACACCCCUCCACCCCAGAGACGCUUUUAGUUUCCUGUCUGAAAACGUGCUAUUUUGCAGUCGGCUGUGGAGGUUUGCUCAGCCCUCUCCUCUGCAGCCCCGAAAGACUCUCCAGACUAUGGAACAAGAAUCAGUCCCUGCUGCAAAACAUUACUACAGAAGAGGACCUUUAACUUCCCUGUAACCAGCCUGUAACUGGCCUGAACAGUUGAGACACGUCUUACUCAUGGGUGGAAAGGAAAACAAACAACUCAUGUCUACAUAAAUAGUAUGAUGACAUGUAUCUGACUAUUUUUACCUACACUCCUCUCCAAUGUCCACUUUUGAGGUAUUUUUCCUCCAGUGGCCCUGCAAGAGACCUCUUUUUUGGUCUUCCUUCCCUGACCAUCACCCACUAUCAGGAAAGGCUUUGCCAACAGGCCCCUUACAUCCUUAGGUAUUUCUAAACUAGGGAGACUGUAAGGACCCAUAGAGAGCUGGGUGGAGCUAGGGGAUUCACCUCGAUUAGAAGAUCUGUAAAUUCCUAGAAUAAAGACUUGGAUGAGUCACACGA
Molecule: long non-coding RNA, 591 nt
Organism: Dipodomys spectabilis (banner-tailed kangaroo rat)
Lineage: Eukaryota; Metazoa; Chordata; Mammalia; Rodentia; Heteromyidae
Exons: 2
Source: RefSeq, a predicted model, not a curated record